This 480-nucleotide long non-coding RNA is filed under the name Helianthus annuus (common sunflower). Its description in RNAcentral is "hypothetical non coding rna". The record is from RNAcentral. Lineage: Eukaryota; Viridiplantae; Streptophyta; Magnoliopsida; Asterales; Asteraceae.
UAAGCUGAGCCUGUGAGGCUAUGAUGCAUAAGCUGAGCCUGUCGACUCUAUGAUGCAUAAGCUGAGCUUGUGUUCUUAAUAUGUCUGAACUGAAACUGUUAAGGCUAUGAUGCAUAAGCUGAGCCUGUUGUUUAAGUUUAGUGGCAAAUUACUCUUGUUGUGUACUCCGGAUUUUGUGUUCUUAAUCUGUCUGAACUGAAAGUGUUUGAGGCUGUGAUGCGAAAGCUGAGCUUGUGUUCUUAAUCUGUCUGAACUAAAAGUGUUGAGUCUAUGAUGCAUAAGCUGAGCUUGUGUUCUUAAUCUGUCUGAAGUAAAAGUGUUUUGAGGCUGUGAUGCAAAAACUGAGCCUGUGUAAUCUAUCUGAACUGAAAGUGUUUGAGGCUGUGAUGCAAAAACUGAGCCUGUGCAAGGUUCGCUCGGUCCAACAACUCAAGCAAAUGUUUUCUUUGCAUUUUAGGGGGAACAUGUGUGCUUCUCUCC